Molecule: ribosomal RNA, 429 nt
Filed under: Chloroflexota bacterium
Lineage: Bacteria; Bacillati; Chloroflexota
Description: Chloroflexi bacterium partial 16S ribosomal RNA
Rfam family: Bacterial small subunit ribosomal RNA
Source: RNAcentral
UGGGGAAUAUUGCACAAUGGGCGCAAGCCUGAUGCAGCCAUGCCGCGUGUAUGAAGAAGGCCUUCGGGUUGUAAAGUACUUUCAGCGGGGAGGAAGGGAGUAAAGUUAAUACCUUUGCUCAUUGACGUUACCCGCAGAAGAAGCACCGGCUAACUCCGUGCCAGCAGCCGCGGUAAUACGGAGGGUGCAAGCGUUAAUCGGAAUUACUGGGCGUAAAGCGCACGCAGGCGGUUUGUUAAGUCAGAUGUGAAAUCCCCGGGCUCAACCUGGGACCUGCAUCUGAUACUGGCAAGCUUGAGUCUCGUAGAGGGGGGUAGAAUUCCAGGUGUAGCGGUGAAAUGCGUAGAGAUCUGGAGGAAUACCGGUGGCGAAGGCGGCCCCCUGUACGAAGACUGACGCUCAGGUGCGAAAGCGUGGGGAGCAACCAGG